GAUGAAGAACGCAGCGAAAUGCGAUACUUGGUGUGAAUUGCAGAAUCCCGUGAACCAUCGAGUCUUUGAACGCAAGUUGCGCCCGAAGCCAUUAGGCCGAGGGCACGCCUGCCUGGGCGUCACACGUCGUUGCCCCCCCAUCUACUCCUUCGGGAUUGCGGGGGGCGGAUGAUGGCCUCCCGUGCGCCUCGUCGCGCGGUUGGCAUAAAUGCCAAGUCCUCGGCGACGCACGCCACGACAAUCGGUGGUUGCGAAACCUCGGUUGCCCGUCAUGUGCGGUCGUCGCGCAUCGAGGGCUCGAAAAAAUUGCCGGGCUCCGGCUCGGCUUUCAACGCGACCCCAGGUCAGGCGGGGUUACCCGCUGAAUUUAAGCAUAUCAAUAAGCGGAGGA
RNAcentral lists this unclassified non-coding RNA (391 nucleotides) under soil metagenome. Its description in RNAcentral is "partial contains 5.8S ribosomal RNA, internal transcribed spacer 2, and large subunit ribosomal RNA". The stretch from base 1 to 122 matches the Rfam family "5.8S ribosomal RNA", at positions 35 to 154 of the family's 154-position model. The record is from RNAcentral.